Non-coding RNA from Seminavis robusta, 82 nucleotides. The record is from the annotation of a GenBank genome assembly. Lineage: Eukaryota; Bacillariophyta; Bacillariophyceae; Naviculales; Naviculaceae.
ACGGGUGUGGCGGAAUUUGUAGACGCGCUGGGUUUAGGUUCAAGUGACUUUGGUCGUGAGAGUUCGAGUCUCUUCAUCCGUA